AUGACCCACGCUCCUUUAGGCUCUUUAAAUUCCGUGGGUGGCGUAGCUACCGAGAUCAAUGCAGUUAAUUAUGUCUCUCCUAGAAGUUGGUUAUCAACUUCUCAUUUUGUUCUAGGAUUCUUCUUUUUUGUGGGCCAUUUAUGGCAUGCAGGAAGAGCCCGAGCUGCUGCAGCAGGUUUUGAAAAGGGAUGUGUUGAAGGGAUAUCUAUAUGA
RNAcentral lists this ribosomal RNA (213 nucleotides) under Triticum aestivum (bread wheat). Its description in RNAcentral is "partial small subunit ribosomal RNA". The record is from RNAcentral. Lineage: Eukaryota; Viridiplantae; Streptophyta; Magnoliopsida; Poales; Poaceae.